UUUUUGUAAGUGAUACAUAUUUUGCGACCAGUCUUAACCGAGUUGGGUCAUUUUACAUCGGUAUUUCUCUAUUUGUUUUUAUUUGUUUUACGGUUUUAAGUGAAGACAAACUCAUAUAUUUUUUUUGUAUAUAAUACUGGAUUUGUUGUCCUUUAAUCUCAGUAUUUCUAUACUACAUUAUGAUAUUGCCACUCCAACGAGUCAGUAUGUGCUAAAUUAUUUUUGCGGGCAGUGUAAAGAUAGAAUUGCUAGGUCGUUCAUUCAGUAUUUGUUUAGAGAUACGUAAAACAUGCCGGAUGUAUUGGAUAUUGAGAUAGGGAAGGACGGUUUGGAGGUCGAGGCGAGUGGCACGGUCUUGGUUGUCGUCGCCGGGUUAACGUUUAUAGCAGGAUUAGCUAUCGGUGGUGUGAUAGGAUUUAAGAUGGGCAAACAAGUAGGCAAACGGGAAUAACAUGGAUUCUGGUACUGUCAAAACCAGUACCAUCUGGCGUGCAGAAAACACAAAACUUACAUAGAAGAACAUUGUUCAAAAUAGAAUUUCAACGAUCAUUAUGGAGGAUUUAUAGAGAAACAUUUAGCGACGACAGUAGAAGUUGUGGCAUUCACACAGGACGGUUGAUUUGAUGUUAAUUGACAAAAAUGUGAUAGUGAUCUUUAAAUUUCCAACUAAGUGCACAUAAAUACUUUGACAUAAAAAACUGUGAUACUGUAUCAUUUUGUGCCGUUUAUACGCAUUUUUUGUGAAAAAUUACAUUUGUCUAAACUCUUUUACCAUUAUUUGGUGGCUUAUUUCUUGUUCAGUAAUGAACACGGUAUGCUGUAAUUGUGAUAUUCCGGCUAGAUGUUAUUUAUUUCUUCAUUCCUUGUUUAAUUAUAGGUCAGUUAGCCAUAAUUUAUCACAUGUGUAUGUGCGUACUAGAGCAUACACUCUAUCUCAAAAUAUUUCAGCUAAUAAUAGCCUCUCUAUUAUUUCAGUAUAGUAAUACUAUUUAUAUGGCCGUUUCAUAGAAGUCUUUUAAAGUCCACAUUAUAUUAUUGUUUUGAAAAUGAAGAAAAAGAGGAAUUAAAAUGAUAUUUGUA
This is a long non-coding RNA of Mercenaria mercenaria, 1080 nucleotides long. RefSeq lists it as uncharacterized. The transcript is spliced from 2 exons. The record is from RefSeq and is a predicted model, not a curated record. NCBI's taxonomy places the organism in Eukaryota, Metazoa, Mollusca, Bivalvia, Venerida, Veneridae.